GGCAUGCCCUGGGACUCAGUGGCCAUGAACAGGAGAUAUCUCCUGGAGGGAGGAUGGGCUGUGGGAAGAUAAAGAUGAUUGCCCAGCUGGUUUAAAGAUGCCCAUGAGCAGAGGAUAUCUCCCACAGAGAUAAGAAUCACCGCCCUGCCUCAUUUCAGCAGAUGGUAGAGCACAGACUUUGGGAAACAUCUUUACAUUGUAACCCAGGACAGUGUGUCUGUGUGUGUCCGUGUGUGUGUGUGUGUCGCUGUGUGUGUCUGUGUGUCCGUGUGUCUCUGAGUGUGUGUGUGUGUGUGUGUCCGUGUUUCUGUGUGUCCAUGCGCCCGUGUGUGUCCCUGUGUCCGUGUGUCCGUGUGUCCAUGUAUCCGUAUGUCUGUGUGUUUGUGUGUCUGUGUCUGUGUGUCCGUGUGUCCCUGUGUCCAUGUGCCCGUGUGUGUCCAUGUCCAUGUGUCUGUGUGUCCAUGUGUCCCUAUGUCCGUGUGUCUGUGUGUCUGUGUGUGUCCGUGUGUCCGUGUGUCUCUGAGUGUGUGUGUGUGUGUGUCCGUGUUUCUGUGUGUCCAUGCGCCCGUGUGUGUCCCUGUGUCCGUGUGUCCAUGUAUCCGUAUGUCUGUGUGUUUGUGUGUCUGUGUCUGUGUGUCCGUGUGUCCCUGUGUCCAUGUGCCCGUGUGUGUCCAUGUCCAUGUGUCUGUGUGUCCAUGUGUCCCUAUGUCCGUGUGUCUGUGUGUCUGUGUGUGUCCGUGUGUCCGUGUGUCUCUGAGUGUGUGUGUGUGUGUGUCCGUGUUUCUGUGUGUCCAUGCGCCCGUGUGUGUCCCUGUGUCCGUGUGUCCAUGUAUCCGUAUGUCUGUGUGUCUGUGUGUCUGUGUCUGUGUGUCCGUGUGUCCCUGUGUCCAUGUGCCCGUGUGUGUCCAUGUCCAUGUGUCUGUGUGUCCGUGUGUCCGUGUGUCCCCACGUUCCGAGCCGGAUCAGGAUCAGGAGCAGAUGGUGCUGCACAGAUGGCGCAGGAGGGGCCAGGAGCGGUGACAGGAGCGGGGACAGGAGCAGGGACAGGACGGGGACAGGAGCGGGGACAGGAGGGGGGGGGGGGGGGGGGGGGGGGGGGGGGGGGGGGGGGGGGGGGGGGGGGGGGGGGGGGGGGGGGGGGGG
RNAcentral lists this long non-coding RNA (1143 nucleotides) under Ficedula albicollis (Collared flycatcher). RNAcentral's name for it is "lncRNA (ENSFALG00000026310.1)". Lineage: Eukaryota; Metazoa; Chordata; Aves; Passeriformes; Muscicapidae. The record is from RNAcentral.